CAGAGCUCAGAUAUGAGAGUUGAGAUUAAACAUCAGAUAAACCACAACCAGAAACCAGCAGCAGAGAAAAGGAAGGAAGUGCAAGACACACAGACAGAACGAGAGAAGAAAUCAACCAAGAUUGGAAAUGUUCUUAUGUCAUGAGCACAGCGCUGUAGAAAUCUCCUGAAUAUAUCUAGCUGAAUAUCGAAGGGGAUCAAAAAGAGACUAGAAUAUGGAAAACGAUACAUUCAGAUGGAAGCUGGAUGCUGACCGACUGGAGAUGAAGGUCAGAUUUUCCAUCUUCAUCAUCAUUAGUGCGUGUGCAGGUCUACCAGCUCUUGUUUGGUCUGUCAGUGAUCUACUUCAUCACCGAAAGAAUGGACACCGUAUAUCAGCCUUCAUCAUCCUCCUCAUCCUCACUGACUUUGUUGAGCUUCUCUUGAGUCCCUACAUACUGUUAAAACAUCUCUUAGAUGAGAUCACCUGGAAUGCAGAUUGGACAAUUUGGUUUUUUUCAUCUUUAUGGUCAUCUUCAAGAGACUGUGGUAUUCUCUUAAACCAGCUGGUGGCGCUAGAGGGGAUUCUCUCAGUGAAAUAUCCACUGUAUACUGCUUCUGUUUUCUCUUCACCCUGUUUCAUUAUUUUCUACAUACUUGUAUUUCUCUGUAUCAUUAUCUGGAGAAUUUAUUUAUUUGUUCGAAGAUAUUAUUUAUUUUUUAUUAUUUUUGUCUUCAUCGUGUCAGUGAUCACAUGGAUAAUAUCUUGUAGAGCUUCAUGUUCUGCUGAUCGUCACUCUCACACAUCCAGGAAACCAGAUCGUCAUAUUUCGAUUGUUUUCAUAUACACUCUGCUGGUGCUUUAUCUGCCCUUUAUUCUAAUCUUAUUUUUCAUGUCUAUUUUAUACUUACGUGAGAUUAAUAAUGUUUUUUAUAUUCCUUGGUUGUUGAUGAGUGUGAGACUGAUUUCAGAUCCUCUUCUGUGUGUGUUGGUCUGCAGACAGAAUCUCAGAAUUCAAACAUCACUAAACACUGAAGAGACGAGUUUAGUCUGAGGAGGUCUGUUAAGAUGGGCAGGUUGUGAUGUCAUGAUAUUUUGACUAUAAAGCUCAGUUUAUUAAAAUAUUUGGUCCCACUUUAGGCAUCUUUAACUACUAUGUAUGUACUUACAUCCAAAAAAAAAAAAAAAAAAAAUGUGGGACACCGUAAAUGUUUGAGACAGGUUUUUCUGCUUUAGUCAGGUUUAAGGGUGGGUUAAAGUGUAGGAGUAGGAUCAACAGUAUAAUUAAACUGUAGUUGUAGCUACAGAAAUUAAUUACCAAUGUAAUUACUUUUUUUUUUUUUUUUUAAUGAGUACAGUGUAAAAACAUGUUUGCACACAGUAAGUACAUUGCAUCAAAUGAUUAAUUUAAAUGCAAGUUAAAUACACAAUAUAAAGUGGGUCCAAAAAGUUCUAUAUAGGCAUAUGCUCUUGAGACAACCAUAGGCUGUAAAUCAAAACAAUUUGACAGCACAGAGUCAGAAUAAUGUGAACUUCAUCUACAGUUGAAAAACAGUAAUAUAUGGCGGAUAUGUAGUCUCUCUUUUAUUUUACUGUACACGAAUACAUUGCAUUCUAUAAUACGUGGAAAUAUUAUAUGCAAAAAUAAAGCAACAAAUAUUUUGUAUUUUCUUUAAUCGUCACUUUUAUAUUUCUUUUUUUUUUUUACAGUGUAAUCUUUCUGUCUGUCAGAGUAUUAUGCAACCAUAUACUCUUUCCCCACCAAUGUUUUUGAAUAUUAGCCCCCAUAAUAUUUUGUUGUAUGAAUAUCUGAACAUGCAAUACAUCAAAAUAAAGAACAGACCCUCUACUUUUAAACAAAACAAAAAUCUCUUUUAUUCUAGCUUCAAGCAUUAUUUUUUUUUAUCAACACUUGAAUAUAGGUAGGUUUCAGAAAGAAGCAACAUUUUGAGCAAAAAGCUGAGAAAAUCACAUUUUCAUCAAAUACUACAUCUGGAUCAUAUUCAGUAAUAUUAUCAAAGCGAAGAUGCAGUAGAUGGCUUCCAUCAGCACUCCUAAAGCUUGCACAGGCCUUUACCACUUUCUGCACUUUCUGGAUCUAACAUUAGGCAGUUUUCAUUUAUAUGCGGUUAGUGUUGAUGAACGCAUUAUUUUUCAUAUGUACAUGCUUGCAUAUGAGAUCGCUUGAUCGGCGCUUUCUAGACUCAUUCAGGAGAUGCGUAAUAACGCCCCGAGCGUAGAACAGCAUGAAUGUGGAAACCCGGAAAAUUCCGUGUUUGGCGGAGAAAGAGUUCAAGUUCAAGUCAAGUUGAGCUUUAUUGUCAUUCCGCUACAUGCGGGGCAUACAGUGGAACGAAAUGUCGUGCCUCACAGGACCACGGUGCUACAUAAAUACAGGCAUACAGCAAUGAAGUAAAACAAUAUAAACCUAUAUAGGGCUGUAACUAACGAUUAUUUUAAUAAUCGAUUAAUCUGUCGAUUAUUUUUUCGAUGAAUCGGAUAAAAAACAAGAAAAGCAUUCAUUUCCAACCCUUUAUUCAAAAACAGAACUAAAAUCUUUAGAAAGUGCACAAACAUGUUGCUCCUUUAACAUCCCUGAGCUGUUAUAAUAAUAAUAAAAUAAAAUAAAAAUGGACUAACACAAAAAACAUACACAUGUAUGCUUUACAUCUGCCAAAUAUAUAGACUUCUUUUUUUUUAAAUAAAGUGCCACCUGAGCUGCCAGAACAAUAAAUAAUUUAUAAAAAAUAAAGAACAAUACAAAUCAGAAAAUUUAACAGGAUUUGUUUGAAUGUCAGAACUUGUUCUCUACACUACACUGCAGACGCACACACUCGCAGAUGCACACACUCGCAGACACACACACUUUUGCAGACGCACACACUCACAAACUCUCACACUGACACACACACACACACACUUACUCUCUCUCUCUCUCUCUCUCUAAGUUCACUUGAAGCUUAUUCAUUAAAUUAUUACCAUCAUUGUAGUAAGUGCAAGGUUCAUUUAUACACCACAUUUAAACACAGCUUAAGAUGACCAAGUGCUAUAAAAGAACUUUAAAAUUAAAUUAAAAAGUACAACACACACAAAUAUAUUUGUCAAUAAUAACCUAUAUGGGACAAAGCACAGAAUAUACACUGCAAAAAAUGCUUUUCUGACUUAGUAGUUUUGUCCUGUUUUCAGUCCAAAUAUCUAAAAAAUCUUAAAUCAAGAUACAUUUACUAGACACAUGAAAUAGCAUAAGAAAUUAUGUCUUGUUUUCUGAAAAAAACACCUCAAAAUUAAGUGAUUGUUUGCUUAAAACAAGCAAAAUUAUCUGCCAAUGGGGUAAGAAAAAUAAUCUUAAUGAUAUAUAAUCUCAAACAGAAGUUUUAAGCAUCACUUAAUUUUCUCAUGCCAUUUUUCUUGUCUAGUAAUC
Long non-coding RNA from Onychostoma macrolepis, 3400 nucleotides. RefSeq lists it as uncharacterized. Lineage: Eukaryota; Metazoa; Chordata; Actinopteri; Cypriniformes; Cyprinidae. The record is from RefSeq and is a predicted model, not a curated record. The transcript has 2 exons.